Cannabis sativa is the source of this 705-nucleotide long non-coding RNA. RefSeq lists it as uncharacterized. The record is from RefSeq and is a predicted model, not a curated record. NCBI's taxonomy places the organism in Eukaryota, Viridiplantae, Streptophyta, Magnoliopsida, Rosales, Cannabaceae. The transcript has 2 exons.
UAACACUCACUUAUAUAAGAGUUUAUAAAAUAAUAUAAACCAAAUCAAAAUAAUUACCAAAUAAAUUCAAAGCUAAAUGAAAUUAUUACGAGCAUCAAAUAAUACUUUACUCUCCUUUCUCCUCCAAUAAACACUUAUGAAAUUGUGUAAUAUAUGGCAUUAGGCUCCACCCUCCUAUUGGCGCUGAGCGUGCAACCGAGAUAGGCAGCUUGGAAGGCAGAGACCUUAAAGUUUCUGGAACAAGUUGGGGCACAAACAGCCUCGAUGUAUCGCUGGCCGGGCUAGGUUGGUUGUCUUUGGGUCUCAAAGGUGAAGCAACCUUGAAACUGUGGACAUUCGAUGGCAUCAAAAUAACUCAAAGAGAGCCGUUAGUUCUUGACCGAGCACGGUUCCUUGAAAGACCUGGUUUUUGGCUUCCUAAGGCUAUUUCCGAGGCGAUCGGUUAUCAAUCUAAGCUUGAAGCUCAACAGAAAAAUCUUCAAGAGGAAAUGUUGUCCAACACUUGAAACCAUCACUUUAUAAUAUAAAGUUUUCUUCAUACACAGUGAAAGACACUUCCCAAGAUCAACUUCAUACCAAUUUUAGGUGUUUCAACAGUUAUUUAAUUUCAUAAUAUUUGAUUGUAAAUUUUGACUAUUUUAGUAUUUAAAAAUUGAUUAAUUUGUGGUAAUUGCAUAUAAAUUCAUAUUAUCUUUUUUCUCCUAA